UUGCUAUAAUCUAUUGAUGUCUAUAUAAUUUAUUUAGAGAGAAAACACGCCUAAGUUUUAGAUAUAAUGGUUGUUACAAUAAUGUACAUAGAAGGCAAAAUUAACCUCUUCAUAUUUCAUUACGCAUAUGGUAAUAUCAUCUACAUAAGCUUGCAAUAUAAAAACCUCUUCUUCUUUAAGAGUAAGAAAAAGAUGGUUUCACUCAUAAAAAGCCAUAGAACUCUCCUUUUGUUUUAUCAUGGUGAAUUACUGGGAGACACACUUAUGCAAGCUUCUCUACCAAUGCACCAUACUCUGCUUCUGCUUGGUGUUGCAUUUACGGAGCUUGCUUUGGCUUCACUGUAAGAGAAUCCUAUAUCAGAAUUAUAACUAGCAUUAGAUUCACGGUACUUUCCAUCCACCUUAUUCAUCUGAUCAACCAACAAGCGUCGCGAGUGAAGAGCAUGAACUGGAGUUUCUGGAAUUCCUGAUACAUUUAUUCCAGGGAAGUAACUGAUUGUUGCAUGAGAAUUGGGAUUGCUUGAAGCAUCUUCCUGCAAAAUGUCCCCUAUCCUACACAAAAUGCUGAAAGCCAAAUUCCCAAGAACCCGGGAGUACGCCUCCAGAAUUGAAUGGCCAACAUCCUAUGGAAAUUAACAAUCACAGUUAUUCCAAAUAUUCAGCUAAAAGUGCACUAUGUUACUGUAACAGUGAAAUAAAUUGUAGCGGAACUAACAAAAUCAAAUACCAUUUAUUCUUAAGAAAAGUUCUUCCUUCAAUACAAGCACUGUAGCUAAUGUGAAGAUUUGAAUUUUAGUUUGGAAGACCAUUGUGGGGGUACUUCUUUUUAUAUUUCCCAGUCUAGAAAAGAGUGAAAAGACUCUAAUUGUGAUUAAAACAAGAAACUUCCCAGAUCAACUAUUUGUGAAGAGGGAUGGAACAUAAGAAAUAAACAAAAUUGGAGUUGUGUUGAUUAAUGCACAAGUUUCUUGAGCUAUGUGUAGUACACUGUUUUUAUGUAUAAAGUGAUUCAACUCCUAGUCACUGAGAUUGAUCGCAUGUUCAGUAAUGAUGAUUGAUUUACUUAUGAGUACGAUCUAAAUUGUUACUUGCAUUUGUGUUAUUGUUAUUGACAUCUAACAGUGGUACGAGAAUUUGCAGGCUGAUUUCCAUGAAUUUUAAGAUUUUACCAUGAUGUGUAUGCUCACCUUGCUCAUUGUUUUUGCAUGCUCACAUAAUUUAUUGCUAUGAAUUAAUCAAAUGGAACAAUAAUAAUAUGAAAAAAAAAUCCUGAAGCUUAUAAUAAAUGCCUAUUUAUCAAACUCACCCUGCCAUAUUGGAUUUUUGUAGCUUCAAGAAAUGUUUGAGGAAGAUUUGGAUAUCUGGCCUUGACUUGCUGCAGAAGGAUUUCUGCUCUGUCCAACAGUGACUCUGUCUUGUCAAAUUCUGAAAUAGGGUCCUUAACAAAGGACCAAGAUGUUCGAACAGGGGAUUUACUACUAACUUGUGCUGUAAUCUUCUCCUUCCAUGCAAACAUGGCAGCUUCCAAUUUGUUAAUGGCCUCAAGUGCACUGUGUUCAGAUUUUAAAUUAAGAGAGCUAAGCAUUUCCUCAGCUGUUUUUGAAUCUGCAGUCAGGAUCUUAUACAGUUCCUCGCCAAGGUUUGUUUUUCCAGACUGUAAACAUGGAUUAAAUUGGUUAUGCCAAACUCUUUGUUGGAAAGCUAUUAUUUUAAAAGGUUGCUAGUUACUGCUUAUGUUUCAGUGGUGAGAACAAGCUUACUUUAGGUAGUGCAUCCCUGAUAAUGGUUGGUACGGGCAUUUCAAGCAAUACAUUUUCGUUGAUAGAUUUGGCAGCCUUGAAGACUUGAUAGACCACUUUACUCUGAUAGAGCAGUUUUUUCCUUUCUGAGUCAGAAAACCCAGUUGUGGGUACCUGUGGCAAUGGGAGCCACCACCUCUUGCUCUGCUUUGUGCUUUUGGUCCUACCUUCUGCCCGGCUGCCUACUUCUGUGUACCAAAACUCAGUAUUCACCAUUGAAUCCAGUGUCUCAAUAAGCAUGGAGUCCAACUUCUGAAGUGCUGGAAGAUUCAUAUGGAUGUCUGCGCGAGCUUUUGGAGUCAUUAUCUCCAAGGCCUUGCCAUUGGCGCCGUUUUGCUUUGUAGGAACUAACUCAACCAUAUAGUUUGUAGGAGAGAGCAACCAAUCCAUUUCUUUUCGCCAUUUGUUCUUGUUUUCUUCAGGCAAUGGCUCUAGUUUCCACAGUUCCCCAAAAACUGAAGCUGCAAGAUUUGUUAUGGCAUUGGAUAAUGCUAAUGCUGUAGUGAGGCCCUUACAACCUCCUGUUAUAUCUUCACCCAAUAACAGCUUUGCAAAUUUUUCCUUCAUUGUCUCCACAUCCGAAAAUUGGGUAGUAUAAACUGGUUUUGCCUUGACAUAAAAAUGUUGGGGGCUUUCUGAGAGCUCCCAAUCAUCCAAACUGUGCUCAUCCCUCUUCAUUGUCAAACAUUUAGAAGAAAAUGAUCCAAAAGCAUCUUUGGUAGAAGAACAGCUCAAGUCAUCAUCUUCGAAGGAGUCACUCAUACACCCAUCUCCUUGGCUUGUGCCACUUUCAUUUUCAUAAGAUUGGUUGUUUUGAAUGCAACUCUCAAGGCCAUUGUAUGUCACAAUCCUCUCUUGUUCAUCGAAGUCGAGGCUAAUUUCUCUAUCCCAGGUGCAGCAAGCCAGCCUUCUUCUCAUCAUCAUCAUCAUAUUUUUCUUGAUAUAAUCUUUUUCUUUAAAAUAUAUAUGUUUUCCUUCUUGUUUUUGUCUAUGGAUGGAUAUGCAUAAAAUUACUCAAUCAGAUGAUUGAAUAUUCAUCAUUUCAAAAGCUGCGAACCACACCCUGUUUGAGGUGAAGAGUGAAGAUCGUUGAAAGAACCAUAUGUCUACACCAAAUCUAAGGAGUAAGCAACAACAUCAUACCAGCAGCAAGUGUAUUUGGCGAUUUCAGUCUCUGUCUCUUCUUCUUCUUCUUCGUUCUCUGAUCUGGCUUCAUCCUUUCUUCCCCCUUUCUUCUAUUUUCUUCGCCCUCUCCUCUGUUUUUUGUUUGGGUUGUGGCUCUGCCACAAC
Molecule: unclassified non-coding RNA, 3089 nt
Filed under: Hevea brasiliensis (rubber tree)
Lineage: Eukaryota; Viridiplantae; Streptophyta; Magnoliopsida; Malpighiales; Euphorbiaceae
Source: RNAcentral